CUUUUCUUUUUUGGUCGGGUGCAUGCGUGCAGCAGGGCGCUGGUGGGCGCACGAAGGCAGGGGGGUGGUUGCUAGAUCCACCGCAUGGCGGGAUAGGUUGGCGUGGUGGGAUGCGAUACAGCAGCGAGGCGGCGUGAAGUAGAAACAGUUCGGCAGCCCUCUACCCUUCGCCCGGGUAAGAGACAACUACUCCAAUAUGGCCUCCAACGUGUCGUCAAGCCCUCCAGUUCCAAUUGGUAUCGGGUUCUAGGGCCCGCUGCUUGCCCACUGGCCAGCCACACUACAGGUACAAGGGCAGCCGCUUCGGGGAGACGCACCAACAGAAUACACUGAGGAGACGUUCCAGUGGAGGUUGUGUCUAAGAAGGUCGUUGAAGAUUACCUCUACCCUAUUAUCAAGGUCCCAUUUCUUCUCCAUGCUCGUACCUGAAGAUUAUGAAGAGAUAUUCAAACUGUAAAAAACUGUGAAGGACGUUUUUCUUUCAUUUAGACAGUAAAGGAUUUGUAGCACUCUCAAAACGAACUAGACAUUGACUUUAGACUAUCAGAACAACACAAACAAUGCGGUAAGACAUACACCUUAUCAGAAGAACAACACUACUUAUCCGCGUCCCCGUCGUUAGCCUCCUCUCGUCCCGCCUACCCCACCUCUUGCUGCUCCAGUGUGCCUACCUAUAUCGUCGUGUAGUCUCAAUUGAAGUAUAAAGAGCGACUGUUUAUAAAACGAAAACGAAUCAUAGGGUGUAGUACAAUCACGACGUAGAUAGAAUAAACAAAUGACUUUGAUCCUCAUCAUCAUGUAGUAUCAACAACGACUUUUAUGAGGAUGCUAUCCACUAUAACGAAACUAGUAUUUACUUGACGGCACCUUGAUACAUUAGAGCUGCUAAUCUACUUCUACUAUUUGUAACAGUAACAGAACCAGCAAACCUACUAAACCUUCCUCGCUAUGUUGUCUCAAAACUUCCUUUUAGGAGGGCAAACCUAGCGUGCAGCUUGUUUAAUUCACACCACGCGUGUUGACCACAUUCUUGUACAAGACCCUCACAGUUCGUAAAUAAAAGUUCCAGCUGUCAAGGAACAGCUUGCCACCUGGAAAAUGGUUCAUACCCCAGCGAAGUCCGUUCUCCUUAUUCAAAAGGAAGCGACGAUAGAACCAGCGUUCGAGGAAAGUCGUUCUUGCAUUGUUGAACUACAAACUUACCAAGUUCCGACUACGAAACACGAAACAUAGAGAGACAGGCUGUUCCAAAUGUCAAACACAAAGCCGUUAAUGGAAGAAAAGGAUACAUCCAACACUACUCCAGCAAGAAAAGAAAACUCGAAACAUGAGACUCUAAUCUAUGAUAAUAAAGAAGAUAUUACUAGUUUACGUGAAGAGAACGUACCAAAGUUUUUUUUUAUGGAGGUAAAUUAUAAGAAUGUCAAAAUUAGUAUAUACUUGACGAUUCCUUGGUAUGGUGGAAAGACAAAAUGACGAUACAAACAAAUGAUCGAUAAAAUGAAGUUCAUCAGCUAAAUAUAAAUAAAAGACUUUGUUCAUCUAAAUAUAAAUACUCGUACGUGAACGUCAAGUCGUUAAGUAAGAGGUACUUCUUACUGUUUUUACAACGUGGAAUUAAUCCAUAACAAAAGAUACAAAUCAAUUCUAAAAAAUCGUGUAGAAAAGGAACUAUAAGUAUAAGUAUAAAUUCCAGGUAUGGUCACGUGGUGGUUGAUAAUAAAACUGAUUGAAAACAACCACACUUGGUUAGAGAAACUUAAAACAGUCUAUCAAAACUAGUAUUUACUUAACAGCGUCUUGAUAUAUUAGAGGUACUAAUGUUACGGAACUAAAUUAUAAGAAUGUCAAAAUUAGUAUAUACUUGACGAUUCCCUGGUAUACUGGAAAAACAAACUGAAUUCUAAAAAAAUGAUGAUCGAUGAAAUGAACGUCAUCAGUUAAAUAUAACACAAAACUUUGUUCAUCUAAAAAUAAAUAGUCGUACGUGAAAGUCAAGUCAUUUGACCUCAUACGUAAUUAAGUAAGAGGUACUUCAUUACUACUUUUACAACGUGGAAUUACUCCAUAAUAAAAGAUAAAAAAUCAUGCAAAACAUGAUGUUCUCCGUGAUUUGUAUCCUUAACAUCACAUUGGCCUAGAUAUGUACUAAUUCAUAUAUAUGAGUUCAUGGAUGACUCAGAGUCAAAACAAAUAACGUGUCUGAAACACACGUACGUAUGUAUUAAAAAAUCUUGUUACUGAUACAACGUACGACCACAGGGAUACAAAGAUAGGUGUUCCGAUAUAUACACGGAAUAGUAGUCUUUAUUUUACUCAUUAUCCCCGACUCCUCUUACAUGUAAGACAUCGAUCGACUCGUGUUACCUAUUGUUAUGUAGCAUACAUACCUAAGACUUGAUACAUUUCUACUCCUCUGUCUCAUUAGUGUACGGAAAACAAUGAAACAACAAGUAGAAAUCUUAAUCUCUCUCCCUUUCUGUCUCAACGAUCGGGUAUGAUGAACUCUGACUUCCAGUAAAAAGAUAUAUGAUGGUGUAUACUACCGUACAUCAAGAACAUAUAUGCAUAUGAACUCUACAAUACCUAUUUCAACCUCGGUACUUAGAUUCGAAUCAAAAGAUGAUGAAAUAAGGAAUAAGAAAAAUCCCUUGUUAUUAUAUCGUACUACAUCAAGAACAUAUAUGUAUAUGAACUCUACAAGAACUCGCCUCAUAGGGACCAGAAUUUUGAAGAACUCGGGGUAUUUGUCUUUACCGUUUCACUAUCGCGAUUAUUCCACUUAAGUUUCGAUCUAAGUACCCCACCAACAACGAAAAAGUAAGACUCAACACAAAGCAAAUGUAAUUUGAAAAGGGUAAGGGAAGUGGGGACGGCUCUGUAACCAACUACACUUCGGGUCUUGUUUAAGUUAACGUGUUGAUAAGUGUAAUUACUCACACCCAACGUCCCUACAACGCUAACAGUGUACAGGAGGAACUAAAUUCCGCAUGGGAAGUGUACAUUCGUAAAGAACGUCCUUUGUCGUUCUCGAGCGUUGAUAAGUGAUCUGAUCCUUCUUUACGUAUGUAUUUUUCCUUCGAUAACGUUCGCGUGUCUACUCCUACUCUGUCUCUUCAUCGGUUCGUACUCUGUCUAGCAGUAGUAUGAAAUAGAAGAACAUAAAGUCCACCGUGAAUCCACACCCCUUUACCUGUACCACUAACGAUCCUUCCCUCAACUCACCCUCGUUCUGUAUCUUGAAACACUUGCUUAAAUUUAAGACUUCCCUUUCUGUAAAACGUUAUGUCCCGGCCUUUUGAAGUUAGAUCCAACAUAUAUUUGUUAGAUCGUUGAUUAUACGUGAAUCAAAUAAAAAAUGUACAGAGAAAUACCAAGUUUAAUACAAAUCACCCGUUCGUAUAUAGCUGGUUCAAUACAAGUCAAGAAUAUAAUAAUAAUCUAAAAUGUUGCUGAAACAGGUAGAAAAUCAAAAGUAGAAGGGUUGAGUCAUAAGAAA
Molecule: ribosomal RNA, 3499 nt
Filed under: Triticum aestivum (bread wheat)
Lineage: Eukaryota; Viridiplantae; Streptophyta; Magnoliopsida; Poales; Poaceae
Description: partial small subunit ribosomal RNA
Source: RNAcentral